GGAUUGAGGGUUCUCUGUCUUGCUCUCACUCACUUGUUUGGCAAUCUGACGAAAAAUCAAAACUUGCAUUUUUUUUCCCUCUGAGAAUAUCCAUGACGUGUUUAGAAAAACAGUAUGCCGUUAUCCUUGACUCUACUGCUUGCUGGCUGCUCGUCGAGUUGAAACUCAUCUCUUAUGAGGGACAUGUAUUUUUUUUUCAACAUUGCAAAUCAUU
This 214-nucleotide unclassified non-coding RNA is filed under the name Hevea brasiliensis (rubber tree). Lineage: Eukaryota; Viridiplantae; Streptophyta; Magnoliopsida; Malpighiales; Euphorbiaceae. The record is from RNAcentral.